UAAGGAAUAUUGGUCAAUGGACGAAAGCCUGACCCAGCAACGCCGCGUGAGGGAUGAAGUAUUUCGGUAUGUAAACCUCGAAAGAAUGGGAAGAAUAAAUGACGGUACCAUUUAUAAGCUCCGGCUAACUACGUGCCAGCAGCCGCGGUAAUACGUAGGGAGCAAGCGUUGUUCGGAUUUACUGGGCGUAAAGGGCGCGUAGGCGGCGCGGUAAGUCACUUGUGAAAUCUCUGAGCUUAACUCAGAACGGCCAAGUGAUACUGCUGUGCUAGAGUGCGGAAGAGGCAACCGGAAUUCUUGGUGUAGCGGUGAAAUGCGUAGAUAUCAAGAGGAACACCUGAGGCGAAGGCGGGUUGCUGGGCCGACACUGACGCUGAUGCGCGAAAGCCAGGGGAGCAAACG
This 402-nucleotide ribosomal RNA is filed under the name uncultured bacterium. Its description in RNAcentral is "bacterial SSU rRNA". It matches the Rfam family "Bacterial small subunit ribosomal RNA", at positions 355 to 774 of the family's 1533-position model. The record is from RNAcentral.